UUAAAGAAAUAAGAAAGUCAAGGGAAAGCUUCUAACUUUAACCUUUAGCAGUGAAAUUCUGUUAUUAUUUCU
Molecule: transfer RNA, 72 nt
Filed under: Malacogaster passerinii
Lineage: Eukaryota; Metazoa; Arthropoda; Insecta; Coleoptera; Elateridae
Description: partial tRNA-Ser
Source: RNAcentral